Molecule: long non-coding RNA, 830 nt
Filed under: Homo sapiens (human)
Lineage: Eukaryota; Metazoa; Chordata; Mammalia; Primates; Hominidae
Description: PREDICTED lncRNA (TCONS_00158060)
Source: RNAcentral
CAGAGAAGUUGGCAGUCUGCAACCUGGAAGAGGCCCUCAUCAGAACCUGCCCAUGCAUGAAACACCCCGAUCUUGAACUUCUACCCUCCAGAACUGUGAGAAAUAAAUGCUUGUUGUGUAAACCACCCAGUCGAUGGUACUCUGUGAUAGCAACCUGAAAUACGAUUUCCAUGUUACAAAAGGAAUUUGGGACACAGAGAGGCCUGCCAGAAUGAAAAUAAAGAACAAAGACAACAAAGAAAACAGCCGACAGGAACAGGAUCUUGGGAGCCAAAUAUCAGGGUCUCACUCUGUCACCCUGGCUAGAGUGCAGUGGUGCAAUCUCAACUCACUGCAGUGUCAACCUUCUGGGCUCGAGUGAUCCUCCCACCUCAGCCUCCUGAGUAACUGGGACCACAGGUGCAUACUACCACACCUGGCUAAUUUUUGUAUUUUUCGUAGAGACGGGGUUUUGCUAUGUUCCCCAGGCUGGUCGUGAACUCCUGAACUCAAGCAAUCCCCCUGCCUUGGCCUCCCAGAGUGUUGGGAUUACAGGCGUGAGACACCAUGCCCGGCCUGGGCUCCCAAGUUUUUACUUUGCUUUCACGUUCCCUGGAGUCUUCAGAGGGAGCAUGGCUCUGUUGACACCGUGAUUUCUGACUUUUGGCCUCCAGAACUGCGGGACAAUACAUGUCUGUUGUUUAAAGCCACCCAGUUUGUGAUAAUUACAGCAGCCCUAGGAAGCAAUAUACUUAGUAUGGAAAAACAAUGUGAAAUUUCUCAUUAGUAAUUUUUUAUGUGAAUUAAAUGAUUGAUUUGAUAAUAUUCAUUUGGGUUAAUACAAAUAUAUU